UACGUAGGGACCGAGCGUUGUCCGGAAUCAUUGGGCGUAAAGAGCGUGUAGGCGGCUUGUUAAGUCUUGCGUGAAAUCUCGGGGCUCAACCCCGAGCGGUCGUGAGAAACUGGCAGGCUAGAGUGCGGGAGAGGAGAGUGGAAUUCCUGGUGUAGCGGUGAAAUGCGCAGAUAUCAGGAGGAACACCGGUGGCGAAGGCGGGUCUCUGGGCCGAUACUGACGCUGAGGAGCGAAAGCGUGGGGAGCGAACAGG
RNAcentral lists this ribosomal RNA (253 nucleotides) under uncultured bacterium. RNAcentral describes it as "partial 16S ribosomal RNA". It matches the Rfam family "Bacterial small subunit ribosomal RNA", at positions 524 to 776 of the family's 1533-position model. The record is from RNAcentral.